CUGUGACUACUUACCACGCCUACUCGAUCGAUCAGCUAUUUAAAUAGGCAAGAACAAUGCAUUGCUAUCUUCAUACUCGAUCGAACCCACAACACAUCAAACACAGUUGUACUUCGUUGAUCUCCAGUUCCCAGACUCAGUAAACUCAACUGAACCAUGCGAUCUACAUUGGUAUUGUUUGCUGCCAUAACAAUGGUCCUGUGUGUAAUUUGGCUGAAGGUCUCCCUCACAACCGCAAGAUUGAAUUCAAAAUACCCCGACCGCAAUUUUGCCAAACGGACGAAGACGUGUACCGUCUGUGCUAUUUGUGUGCACGAGCAAUGGAAGAUAUUGAUGUCUACAACGGCUGCUGUGCUCAAGAAAAAUUAUACUAUUCUUUCUGUCAAGUAUAUCUGGCCUAGCAUGGCGACUAAUGUUAGUCAUAGCAAUGUUACUUCAUGUUUUUUGCGAGAUUGUUCGGGGAAAAAAAGACAAUAAAUUAUAAUUUAACUUAA
Long non-coding RNA from Octopus sinensis (East Asian common octopus), 494 nucleotides. RefSeq lists it as uncharacterized. The transcript has 2 exons. NCBI's taxonomy places the organism in Eukaryota, Metazoa, Mollusca, Cephalopoda, Octopoda, Octopodidae. The record is from RefSeq and is a predicted model, not a curated record.